AGAGUUUGAUCCUGGCUCAGGAUGAACGCUGGCGGCGUGCUUAACACAUGCAAGUCGAACGGGGAAUAUUCUGACAGAGACUUCGGUUGAAGUCGUUAUAUUCCUAGUGGCGGACGGGUGAGUAACGCGUGGGUAACCUGCCCCACACAGGGGGAUAACAACCAGAAAUGGCUGCUAAUACCGCAUAAGCGCACGGGACCGCAUGGUCCUGUGUGAAAAACUCCGGUGGUGUGGGAUGGGCCCGCGUUGGAUUAGCCAGUUGGCAGGGUAACGGCCUACCAAAGCGACGAUCCAUAGCCGGCCUGAGAGGGUGAACGGCCACAUUGGGACUGAGACACGGCCCAGACUCCUACGGGAGGCAGCAGUGGGGAAUAUUGCACAAUGGGGGAAACCCUGAUGCAGCGACGCCGCGUGAAGGAAGAAGUAUCUCGGUAUGUAAACUUCUAUCAGCAGGGAAGAAAAUGACGGUACCUGACUAAGAAGCCCCGGCUAACUACGUGCCAGCAGCCGCGGU
This 514-nucleotide ribosomal RNA is filed under the name uncultured chicken cecal bacterium. RNAcentral's name for it is "bacterial SSU rRNA". It matches the Rfam family "Bacterial small subunit ribosomal RNA", at positions 8 to 521 of the family's 1533-position model. The record is from RNAcentral.